RNAcentral lists this ribosomal RNA (430 nucleotides) under uncultured bacterium. RNAcentral's name for it is "bacterial SSU rRNA". It matches the Rfam family "Bacterial small subunit ribosomal RNA", at positions 354 to 796 of the family's 1533-position model. The record is from RNAcentral.
GUGGGGAAUAUUGCACAAUGGGCGGAAGCCUGAUGCAGCGACGCCGCGUGAGGGAUGAAGGCCUUCGGGUUGUAAACCUCUUUCAGCAGGGACGAAGCGUGAGUGACGGUACCUGCAGAAGAAGCACCGGCUAACUACGUGCCAGCAGCCGCGGUAAUACGUAGGGUGCGAGCGUUGUCCGGAAUUACUGGGCGUAAAGAGUUCGUAGGCGGUUUGUCGCGUCGUUUGUGAAAACCCGGGGCUCAACUUCGGGCUUGCAGGCGAUACGGGCAGACUUGAGUGUUUCAGGGGAGACUGGAAUUCCUGGUGUAGCGGUGAAAUGCGCAGAUAUCAGGAGGAACACCGGUGGCGAAGGCGGGUCUCUGGGAAACAACUGACGCUGAGGAACGAAAGCGUGGGUAGCAAACAGGAUUAGAAACCCGUGUAGUCC